RNAcentral lists this non-coding RNA (30 nucleotides) under Homo sapiens (human). The record is from RNAcentral. Lineage: Eukaryota; Metazoa; Chordata; Mammalia; Primates; Hominidae.
UGUCAAGUUCAGAGUUACGCUGCAGACUGC